RNAcentral lists this ribosomal RNA (2010 nucleotides) under anaerobic digester metagenome. Its description in RNAcentral is "bacterial LSU rRNA". It matches the Rfam family "Bacterial large subunit ribosomal RNA", at positions 3 to 1988 of the family's 2925-position model. The record is from RNAcentral.
UCAAGUUAUUAAGGGCAUACGGUGAAUGCCUUGGUGCCAGGGGGCGAUGAAGGGCGUGGCCAGCUGCGAUAAGCCACGGGUAGCCGCAAGCAGGCGUUGAUCCGUGGAUACCCGAAUGGGGGAACCCACUGCGAGUCAUGUCGCAGUACCCGUACCUGAAUACAUAGGGUACGGGGGCGAACCCGGGGAACUGAAACAUCUUAGUACCCGGAGGAGAAGAAAACAACCGUGAUUCCCCAAGUAGCGGCGAGCGAACGGGGAGUAGCCCAAACCAUGUACGUGUCAAAGUCUGCCGGCGUUGCGUAUGUGGGGUAGCGGGUCACAUUGUCGGGGAUCGGCAGGUUUCCGGCGGCGGAAGUUUUAUCUUUAGCCGAAGCGGACUGGAAAGUCCCGCCGCAGAAGGUAACAGCCCUGUAGGCGAAAAGGAUAAGACAGCUGUAGAUGUGCACCCAAGUAGCACGGGACACGUGGAACCCCGUGUGAAUCAGGGAGGCCCACCUCCCAAGGCUAAAUACCACCUGGCGACCGAUAGUGCACUAGUACCGUGAGGGGAAGGUGAAAAGCACCCCGGGAGGGGAGUGAAAUAGAACCUGCAACCGUAUGCUUACAAGCAGUAACGGCACUAUGUUUAUUAUAAACACUGUGUUGUUGCGUACUUUUUGUAGAACGGGCCGGCGAGUUGCGUUGUGCAGCGAGGUUAAGCGGUUCAGCCGCGGAGCCGCAGCGAAAGCGAGUCUGAAGAGGGCGACAUAGUUGCACGGCGCAGACCCGAAACCGGGUGAUCUACCCAUGGCCAGGGUGAAACUUGUCUAACCGCAAGUGGAGGCCCGAACCCACCAAUGUGAAAAAUUGGGGGAUGAGCUGUGGGUAGCGGUGAAAAGCCAAUCGAACCCGGAUAUAGCUGGUUCUCCCCGAAAUAGCUUUCGGGCUAGCGUCAGAUGUUGAGUUGUGGAGGUAGAGCACUGUUUGGGCUAGGGGCCUUACCCGGUUACCGAACUCAGACAAACUCCGAAUGCCAUAUACUUAAAUCUGGCAGUCAGACUACGGGAGCUAAGUUUCGUAGUCGAGAGGGGAACAGCCCAGAUCGUCAGUUAAGGUCCCGAAGUACAGGCUAAGUGGGAAAGGAUGUGGAAUUGCCGAUACAACCAGGAUGUUGGCUUAGAAGCAGCCAUCAUUUAAAGAGUGCGUAAUAGCUCACUGGUCUAGUGGUUCUGCGCCGAAAAUGUAACGGGGCUAAGCCUGUCACCGAAACUGCGGCAUACCGAGAGGUAUGGGUAGGGGAGCGUUGCAGAUGUGCUGAAGCGGUACCGAGAGGAGCCGUGGAGCGUCUGGAAGUGAGAAUGCCGGCAUGAGUAGCGAGAAGGCAGGUGAGAAUCCUGCCCGCCGAAAGCCUAAGGUUUCCUGAGGAAGGCUCGUCCACUCAGGGUUAGUCGGGCCCUAAGCCGAGGCAGAAAUGCGUAGGCGAUGGACAACAGGUUGAUAUUCCUGUACCACCUGCAGCUGUUUGAGCGAAGGGGUGACGCAGAAGGGUAGGCACAGCGCACCGUUGGUAGAGUGCGUCCAAGCGUUUAGGGAGUGCGGACAGGCAAAUCCGUCUGCAUGAAAAUCCUGAGGCGUGAUGGGGAGCGAAAUUAGAGUAGCGAACUGGCUGAUCCCCCGCUGCCGAGAAAAGCCUCUAGUUAGGGUGUGGGUGCCCGUACCGCAAACCGACACAGGUAGGCGAGGAGAGAAUCCUCAGGCGCGCGGAAGAACCUUCGUUAAGGAACUCGGCAAAUUGACCCCGUAACUUCGGGAGAAGGGGUGCCACAGGCCCAAGCGACUGUUUACCAAAAACACAGGUCUCUGCGAAGUCGCAAGACGACGUAUAGGGGCUGACGCCUGCCCGGUGCUGGAAGGUUAAGAGGAGGGGUUAGCCUUCAGGCGAAGCUCUGAAUCUAAGCCCCAGUAAACGGCGGCCGUAACUAUAACGGUCCUAAGGUAGCGAAAUUCCUUGUCGGGUAAGUUCCGACC